Molecule: unclassified non-coding RNA, 327 nt
Filed under: soil metagenome
Description: partial contains 5.8S ribosomal RNA, internal transcribed spacer 2, and large subunit ribosomal RNA
Rfam family: 5.8S ribosomal RNA (bases 2-119)
Source: RNAcentral
GUGAAGAACGCAGCGAAAUGCGAUAAGUAGUGUGAAUUGCAGAAUUCAGUGAAUCAUCGAAUCUUUGAACGCACAUUGCGCCCCUUGGUAUUCCGAGGGGCAUGCCUGUUCGAGCGUCAUUUAAACCAAUCUAGCUUGCUAGGUCUUGGGCUUUCGCCUCUGGGCGGGCCUCAAAAUCAGUGGCGGUGCUGCCGGGCUUUAAGCGUAGUAAUCUUUCUCGCUAUAGGGUCCUGGUAGAGGCUUGCCAACAACUAUAAAUCUUUCAAAGGUUGACCUCGGAUCAGGUAGGGAUACCCGCUGAACUUAAGCAUAUCAAUAAGCGGAGGA